UUAAAUUGAAAUUGCUAAUUCAAAGUGCAGCUAGGAAUAAAAUAACAAUCCUAAUAAAAUUUAAAUUAAAAAAAAAAAAAGUGUGCAAUUUCUAGAACAACAUGUGUGCAUAUUCCAACAAAAGAAAAUAAUGUCACGCAUUUUCUUCAAGAUAAAUGAUGGCAAACCAAAUGCACUGCUGCUUCUGAAAUGAAGGAAAUAAAUGCUCCAAAAUAAAUAAACCAUCGCCAAAGCAAAAGUGUUGAAUCUCCAAUAUGAAAAGCAAAGGAAUAACUGCAACAAAAAUAAUUAACGUGAGCUCUCCUUUCAAGACCAUGAAUCAAUGCAUAAAAAAGUAAAAAGGAAAAUGCUUCUCUCUUCAAACCAAAAAGGUGCUGCACCGUUUUUAAUUUCUAAAUGAAAACAAGGAAAAUGCUAAGAAAAAUAUCCUAUGUGGCCUACAUUACCGCACCCACCACAUGGUUGCUAAAUGAGAGAAUAAAAAAAAAUGGUCAUCCUAGUGUUCAACUUCCCACAACAGCCGUGACACUCCAUCCAAAAGAAUUCAAUCACCAUGCUCCUCAAAGAAUGCUGGACGUGGCAGCCGUGUCUCCUUCCAAUUGACGCAACCCAUGUGCACACACCAGCUGUGAAUUCUGGACCGUGACAACUCCAAAUAAAUCACUGUUUCAUCAUUCUAAAAACACACUAAAAAAAUGCUUCUCUCUUUGUUAACCACUGUAAAAAUUUCCUAAAAAUCAGCUACCAAUGUCCCAUCAACUCUAUCCCACCUAAUCUACUUACCAUUGAUUAAAAGAAAAACAAAGCUAGAAGCCAUAUAUCAAGUGCAAACCAAACGGUGAUUCCUCUCCAACACUUGCAAGAAAAAUUAAAAAAAGAAAAGUAAAAGUAAUUGAAUCUGCUGCAGCGCUGCACCAUACAAAAAAGAAAAGAAAAUUGGUUCUCCAUUCAUCCAAUGCCCAUUAACAAAAACAUGUUCCAGGAGAAAAUUUCAAUGCCAAAAAAAAGUUCCAGUUGAGAAUUCCUCUCCCAAAAAGUGCCGAGAGAGAGUUAGUCUAGGUAAG
RNAcentral lists this long non-coding RNA (1064 nucleotides) under Vigna radiata. Its description in RNAcentral is "long non-coding RNA (VRAD_LNC012292)". The record is from RNAcentral. Lineage: Eukaryota; Viridiplantae; Streptophyta; Magnoliopsida; Fabales; Fabaceae.